AAGAGAGUCAUAGAAGUUAUGGGAUUGGCUUGAAACCAAUUUCUGGAGGUUCAAUUCCUUCCUUUCUUG
Molecule: transfer RNA, 69 nt
Organism: Pan troglodytes (chimpanzee)
Lineage: Eukaryota; Metazoa; Chordata; Mammalia; Primates; Hominidae
Rfam family: tRNA
About the family: Transfer RNA (tRNA) molecules are approximately 80 nucleotides in length. Their secondary structure includes four short double-helical elements and three loops (D, anti-codon, and T loops).
Source: Rfam